This 223-nucleotide ribosomal RNA is filed under the name uncultured bacterium. Its description in RNAcentral is "partial 16S ribosomal RNA". It matches the Rfam family "Bacterial small subunit ribosomal RNA", at positions 328 to 539 of the family's 1533-position model. The record is from RNAcentral.
ACGCUCGACACCUACGCGAGGCAGCAGUAGGGAAUCUUCCACAAUGGGCGCAAGCCUGAUGGAGCAACACCGCGUGAGUGAAGAAGGGUUUCGGCUCGUAAAGCUCUGUUGUUGGAGAAGAACGUGCGUGAGAGUAACUGUUCACGCAGUGACGGUAUCCAACCAGAAAGUCACGGCUAACUACGCGCCAGCAGCCGCGGUAAUCUGAGCGGGCUGGCAAGGC